UCAGCGGCUGUGGGCCGGGCGGGGCGGCGGAGGGGACGAGGAGCGCCGGGGGCCACCAGGUGUGCGGGGGAGGGGCGGCAAAGGGACCGCCCCUCCACCUGCGGGGUCGCCGAGCGCGGGGUGGGCUUCGGGGCCAGCUGUGAGAAACGGAGCGGAGCGGACGUGGGCGCCGAGAGGGCCGGAAUCUCGGCGUGCGGCGAGGUGGGAGUGGAAUGUGAAGAGAAACGGGCCUGCCGCCUGAGGAGAGAGGGACGUAAAGACUAAAAUGUAACUAUUAGGUUUACCGUAAAGGUGAAUCAUUGGAGGGAUUCUUUUGGAUCAGAACUGCAUAAUGUGACUCUCUGAAGGUUUUCCCAGUAAGCAAAUCACAAAAUAAAUAAAUGUGGAAAGAAGCCAGUUUAAGAAAUGAUCUUUAUCAUUGGUAAGUAAAUGAAUAGUGACUACCAUAAAGACACGUGGUAAAGGUAUAAAAACUAUCUGUACGGCUCUCUUUCUUUCUUUCUCUCUCUCUCUCUCUCACACACACACACACACACAUAUGCACACACUGGCGCAUAUGUGCACAUGCACAAAGCUUAUCUGCAGGA
Long non-coding RNA from Mustela erminea (ermine), 587 nucleotides. RefSeq lists it as uncharacterized. The transcript is spliced from 3 exons. Lineage: Eukaryota; Metazoa; Chordata; Mammalia; Carnivora; Mustelidae. The record is from RefSeq and is a predicted model, not a curated record.